Molecule: small nucleolar RNA, 157 nt
Organism: Artibeus jamaicensis (Jamaican fruit-eating bat)
Lineage: Eukaryota; Metazoa; Chordata; Mammalia; Chiroptera; Phyllostomidae
Source: RefSeq, a predicted model, not a curated record
GUUGAGCUCUAUCCUGAUGGGGUUUUUCUGUAGACCUACAUUGUUGGAAAUGCCUCAAAGAGUAAAUAUAUUGAUUCCUUUAUUCACAGAACUGGGUGUUAAACAAACAAAGAAAGAACUCUGUGUUAGAACCGUGGGAUGGAACUACAAGACAGAA